This 225-nucleotide ribosomal RNA is filed under the name uncultured bacterium. Its description in RNAcentral is "partial 16S ribosomal RNA". It matches the Rfam family "Bacterial small subunit ribosomal RNA", at positions 118 to 345 of the family's 1533-position model. The record is from RNAcentral.
UGAGCAAUCUGCCCUUCUCAUCGGAAUAAGCGUUGGAAACGACGUCUAAUGCCGAAUACGACCUCCUUUCACAUGAUCGGAGGUGGAAAGCUCCGGCGGAGAAGGAUGAGCUCGCGGCCUAUCAGCUAGUUGGUGAGGUAACGGCUCACCAAGGCGACGACGGGUAGCUGGUCUGAGAGGAUGGCCAGCCACAUUGGGACUGAGACACGGCCCAGAUCCUACGGG